GUGAAGUAAGGCCGCUAGCUUACUUCACUUAAGAGAUCAAAUGUCUUAAGUGAAGUAAGCUAGCGGCCAAGGAC
Xyrichtys novacula (pearly razorfish) is the source of this 74-nucleotide non-coding RNA. The record is from the annotation of a GenBank genome assembly. NCBI's taxonomy places the organism in Eukaryota, Metazoa, Chordata, Actinopteri, Labriformes, Labridae.